GCAGCAAACAAUUGGACCACACUGGUUGAACUUUUUUCUCUAUCCGUACAAUGUUCUCAAUUUUUUACCCUUGAUAUAUUUGCAGGUUUGUCAGCUGGAAAGAGUCGGGGGGAAAGAUGUAAAGGACUGCACGCACAAAGUGAUGGACAGGCUCUUCACCAAUCAGCUGAUGACCUUUUUUAAUAUGAAGGGGAAGGGCAAAAAGGAUAAAAUUGGAAUUGAAGACAAGAAAUUGUUUUCAGCAAUAAAAGCUGCUGUCAUGAAAUGGGACCCAGCUGCUACAGAGGCCCAAAUAAAGUCUGCUGCAGCCGAUCAUUUGAAACAUGCUCCCGGGAGAGUCGGGGGUGGUGGCUACAAAUAAAUAUAUUGUGGACCUAAUAGCAGCCAUAGUUUGUUAAUUGUUUACUGUUUUAACAACAUUUUAUAGUACUUUUAUUUAUAACUUUACUGUUCUGGCAGUAAUACAGUUUUAUUGUGUUAAUUUAUACUUUAAUGUUCUGGUUUUAAGUUUGGGUAAAAUUAGUAAUAAAAAUAUGUUUUGAGAUUUAAA
Micropterus salmoides (largemouth bass) is the source of this 550-nucleotide long non-coding RNA. RefSeq lists it as uncharacterized. NCBI's taxonomy places the organism in Eukaryota, Metazoa, Chordata, Actinopteri, Centrarchiformes, Centrarchidae. The transcript has 3 exons. The record is from RefSeq and is a predicted model, not a curated record.